Molecule: small nuclear RNA, 107 nt
Filed under: Camelus bactrianus (Bactrian camel)
Lineage: Eukaryota; Metazoa; Chordata; Mammalia; Artiodactyla; Camelidae
Also listed under: 1 other name
Source: RNAcentral
GUUCUUGCUUCGGCAGCACAUAUACUAAAAUUGGAACGAUACAGAGAAGAUCAGCAUGGCCCCUGCGCAAGGAUGACACACAAAUUUGUGAAGCGUUCCAUAUUUUU